UGGCGCCGCGCCCAAGACUCAAAGCGGCGGGCAGCCCGGCCUCCGCUCCGCUCCGCUCCCGCCGCAGCCAGGACACCGGCGAGGUAUCUCCCCAAGCUGCGUUUCCCACGCUCUUCCCAGACACACAGCUGCCGACCAAUCCACCCUCGCCUGCACCCCCGGGGCGGAUCCCACGUGUGGCCGAGGAGCAGGCAGGAGGCUGCGGGCAUCCCCGGCGGGGCCGCCGCCGCCGCCGCCUCCCUCCACCGCCGCGUCACGUCUGCCUCACGGACCCGCUGCCCCUUCCCCGGCCCGCGCCCACGGCGGCUGCAGCCUCCCCCCGCCCGGGCCCGGGACACUUGCCUGUGACAGCGGGUCAGGAAGCAGGAAGCGGGGGCAGAGCCGCCGUCGGGGCCACCGGGUGCGCUCGCCCCAGCGGGCGGAAGCGGCGCGCGGCUCCAGGUGGCUGCGGGGCAGGGCGAGGGGCGGCCGCGCCGGGGCGCACACGGCUGAGGCGUCCCGUCCCGUCCCGCCCCGUCCACCCUCCCGCAGCCCCCGCGACUCACCUGAGGCGGGGCCGGGCCCUCCCGCCUCCGCCCCGCCCGGGGUGUCUCCCGGCGCGCCCUGCCCUCUAGCGGCGCGGCCUCCCCCGGCAGCGCCCGGCUCAGGGUCCCCGCGGGCACGGGCCUCGGCAGCCCAGGGGCCCAGGUCCUCGCCGCCGCAGGAGGUCCGGCCCUGCCCCGACCCUCAGGGCUCCCCCUUGCCCGCUGCUAUCGCUUCAGACCCGCGGGGCUCGAGUAGGGCCCUUUUGGGGGUGCCGCAGGGUGCCUCCUCUUCACAGGAUCAACCCAGAGACUUCUAACAGCCAUGCCACCGUGCCCGGCCGUGCUUCCAGUGGCGGCAGGAUGGCUCCGCAGUGCUUUUCAACCAGUGUGUUGCAGCACGCUCCCCCGCGUGCCGCAAGAAUUUUGGAAUAAUGAGAAGAAAGUUCUCCACUGCCUGGUGUGAACAAGUAAGCCGCAUUGAUGAGCUAUUCACAGAAGACUGGCACAUGUGUUGGCUGUGGGGGAGAAGGAGAACCAGCAAAGCAGAAGGAAAUUUAUCUACUGUGCAUGUGUUGGUGGUGGGGGAUGUGUAGGUCACAAGCCUCUGAACAGCUGUGCUGUGCAAUUUUGCUGUGGCAAAUGAGCUAAAGUGAGCUCAUGCUUUAACAUGGAAGGUGUGCCAGGGAAAAGUUUUAUUAAUGUAAGUGUGCCUUGGGCUGGAAAAGAUGGGGAAACACUGCUUUAUAGUAUAGUUUCUCUAUACUAGGGUCAUCCAAUACUUUUCAGAAACUUUAGAUCAACAUCUUAUCUCAUUGCUACUAAUUACUCUCAUCAUCUCCAAAACCCCUUUUGUUCUAUUGUAUAUCUUUUCUGAGGUAGGGUUACAGGAGGUUAGCACUACAUACAAUUUCAUCAUAGCCACCCAUGGAAUAGUCAGUAUUAUUUUGCACCCCUACCUUCCUGCAUCUUGCUUUUUCAUGAUUACCAUUGCACCUUUUCUACAAAUUAAUCAAGCUACAGGCUUGACUUCUGCAUUAUGCUACUUAAUUGCAUCCUCUCCCUUUGUUUCCCUGCAGCCCCCCUGGCUGGGGUACAUUAAACAAAGGCUUCUUUAUCUACCAACCUUUUCAACCUGGCUCUCCUGUUUCUGUCGGAUAUGUUCCUUUUCAUGCUGACAGAAGGAUAUAUAACCUCAUCAACUGUCUGUUCUCAAAAACUCCUCUGUUACUGAGGAACACAGCUAGCUCAGAAAGCUGAAUGCUUCAAGAUCACAGAAACUAGAGAUGAGUUAUAAAAACAAAAGCAACCUCAUCACAAAACAUAAUAAAGGACUAUAAAACAGGUGCAAAGAAAACAGGAUGGUGCCAAGCAACGUUCCAAGACAGUGAAACAAGCUUAUCCAGGGCUGCCUGAUGCUCGGGUCCUCAUCGCCAGAUAACGUCAUUCCUGAGAAGCGCUCUCAAUGGGGCCAUCAGGCUCGACUCAUGUGGAACGUAUUGUGCUAAGUACUGAAUGUUUCCGAGGAGUCUCCAAAGGCCUUCUUUGUGUGUUGGAGGGGGCAUCCUGUUGAUGGCUUCCACUUUGUCAUCGUCUGGUUUGACACCAUCUUUUGAGAAGAUAUGGCCCAUAUCUGUAGACUAAAAACUGUAUUUUGUCCUUAUUAAAAACUUUACUCCUUUCA
Alligator mississippiensis (American alligator) is the source of this 2205-nucleotide long non-coding RNA. RefSeq lists it as uncharacterized. The transcript is spliced from 4 exons. NCBI's taxonomy places the organism in Eukaryota, Metazoa, Chordata, Crocodylia, Alligatoridae. The record is from RefSeq and is a predicted model, not a curated record.